UUACGGGGCCGCACAAGCGGUGGAGCAUGUGGUUUAAUUCGAUGCAACGCGAAGAACUUACCUAGGCUUGACAUCCCUGGAAUUUGUGGAAACACAAAAGUGCCUUUCGGGGAACCAGGAGACGGGUGCUGCAUGGCUGUCGUCAGCUCGUGCCGUGAGAUGUUGGGUUAAGUCCCGCAACGAGCGCAACCCUUAUCUUUAAUUGCCAGCAUUCAGUUGGGCACUUUAAAGAGACUGCCGGUGUUAAACCGGAGGAAGGUGGGAUGACGUCAAGUCCUCAUGGCCUUUAUGACCAGGGCUACACACGUACUACAAUGGCAGGUACAAAGGGCAGCCAACUCGCGAGAGCGCGCCAAUCUCAAAAAGCCAUCCUCAGUUCGGAUUGGAGUCUGCAACUCGACUCCAUGAAGUUGGAAUCGCUAGUAAUCGCGGAUCAGCAUGCCGCGGUGAAUACGUUCCCGGGCCUU
This 467-nucleotide ribosomal RNA is filed under the name uncultured Smithella sp. Its description in RNAcentral is "bacterial SSU rRNA". It matches the Rfam family "Bacterial small subunit ribosomal RNA", at positions 917 to 1381 of the family's 1533-position model. The record is from RNAcentral. Lineage: Bacteria; Pseudomonadati; Thermodesulfobacteriota; Syntrophia; Syntrophales; Smithellaceae.